GGCUUAAUUUGACUCAACGCGGGAAAUCUUACCGGGUCCGGACACACUGAGGAUUGACAGAUAUAUACCCCGUGAUUUUAUCGCGGGGUUGAAAGAUGCUAGUUCUUUCAUGAUUAUGUGAUAGGUGGUGCAUGGCCGUUCUUAGUUCGUGGAGUGAUCUGUCUGCUUAAUUGCGUAUCAAUAAUAGAGACCUAGUAUACGCGUAGACUCAUGCGGUAGUGACCCCCCUUCACAGGGCGCGUGUCGCACGUAUGUUAUACGCACAGGUCUCCGAUAGCAACGAACGUGACCGUACUCUAUUGUUGCAGCGACAAUACCUUUCAACGGGUAUUACCGCUGCUUAGCAAGAUUCGUCUUGCAUUAAACUAUAGAGACCGCUGUUUCUUCUUUAAACCAGAGGAAGGAUACGGCAAUAACAGGU
This 421-nucleotide ribosomal RNA is filed under the name Ammonia sp. genotype T6. Its description in RNAcentral is "SSU rRNA". It matches the Rfam family "Eukaryotic small subunit ribosomal RNA", at positions 1187 to 1461 of the family's 1831-position model. Lineage: Eukaryota; Foraminifera; Rotaliida; Rotaliidae. The record is from RNAcentral.